AGGAGCCAGGUCAGAGCUCCCCAGGCUCCUGUGCAGCUUUGGCCAUGGCCAUUCACAUGAGGCUCCCAUGGCCUUACCUGGCCCCCUUGCCGUGCCCAGUUCCCAAAGGCACAGGGGGAUCCCAGCACACCAGGAAAUGGUUCUCAUCUGUGCUCCCUUCUAGAUGAGCAUGCUAGGAAGGCUUCUCCAGCAGCUUGGCUCCAUGCAGAUUUCCAGCCUCUUAAGCCUCCUGCAGGUGUGUCUGCAGGGAAGACUUUUCAGGCUCCUUUCCGGGUUGCUGCACACAAGCCCAGCUCCCAUCGCAGGGAGAUGGACAGAGAGGCUGUGCUGAAGGCUGAGUUUCCCAGAGCAAGCAGUGGCUCAUUGGCAGCCUCUGCUGCAGGAAGGGAGGCGAUGCCAGGCACAGUCACUGGAGGUUGGGACCGUGACUUGCAUCAUUUGGAAAGACUGGCAAACCAUGGUUUAAGGGUCUUGGAGCUUGGUGAAGGUUGGUUAUCAGCAACUCUUUCCUAACAGAGUGAUCAUUGUCCAGAGUAAUAUUCAUGUGUGAUUUCCUUUAAGAUGCUUUGAAGUUUGAUGGAUUCUGGAAAUCCUGUCCUCCAAAUUUCUACUCUUGUGCUCAACAGUGAUCCCACAGGAUCGCUGUCAGUGGGAGGAAGGAGCAUUUGGCUGUCCAUCUUCCACCCAUGUGCAAUGCCAGUGUGUCCUUCCAUGUUGUGUGCUCUGUGCAGCCAGGGAGAAGAGCAGAGAGGGAAGGGGCCGGGCCCAGGGCUGUGCCCCGGGGCUGAGCCUUUCACAGCUCCUUUGCCGGCCCC
This is a long non-coding RNA of Vidua macroura (Pin-tailed whydah), 815 nucleotides long. RefSeq lists it as uncharacterized. The record is from RefSeq and is a predicted model, not a curated record. Lineage: Eukaryota; Metazoa; Chordata; Aves; Passeriformes; Viduidae. The transcript has 4 exons.